This 28-nucleotide non-coding RNA is filed under the name Homo sapiens (human). Lineage: Eukaryota; Metazoa; Chordata; Mammalia; Primates; Hominidae. The record is from RNAcentral.
ACCUUUGAGAGCAAUGUGAACGGCACGU